GACGAACGCUGGCGGCACGCCUAAUACAUGCAAGUCGAGCGCGUGAAGCUUUCUGAAGCCUUCGGGCGGACGAGAGCGGAUCGAGCGGCGGACGGGUGAGUAACACGUAGGCAACCUGCCUGUAAGACCGGGAUAACUCCGGGAAACCGGGGCUAAUACCGGAUAAGAUCUUUCUCCGCAUGGAGGGAGAUUGAAAGGAUGGCCGCAAGGCGAUCGCUUACAGAUGGGCCUGCGGCGCAUUAGCUGGUUGGUGAGGUAACGGCUCACCAAGGCGACGAUGCGUAGCCGGCCUGAGAGGGUGACCGGCCACACUGGGACUGAGACACGGCCCAG
This 333-nucleotide ribosomal RNA is filed under the name uncultured bacterium. Its description in RNAcentral is "bacterial SSU rRNA". It matches the Rfam family "Bacterial small subunit ribosomal RNA", at positions 28 to 334 of the family's 1533-position model. The record is from RNAcentral.